AUGCCCCUCUAUCUGCAACUCUGCCUCUCUCUGUGCCUCUCUUCUUCUCUCAGCCUCCAUCUCUGCAUCUCUGCACCUCUGCUUCUAUGCCUCUCUCUGCCACGCUCCCCAGCCCUCUGCCUCUAUGAACCUCUCUCUGCCAAUCUAUCUGCCUUUCUCUGCCUAUCUCUGCCUCUGCCACUCUGCCUCUCACAGCCUCUCUCUAUGCCUCUCAGGGCCUGUCUCUCUGCUUCCCUCUCUUCCCCUCUGUCUCCUCUAACUCUCACAGCCACUUUCUGUAAAUCUCAGGGCUUCUCUCUCUGCCUCCCUGUCUGUUUCUCUGCCUAUCUCGGCUUCUGCCACUAUAUGACUCUCAUGGCCUCUCUCUACCUCUCUCUGUGUGUCUCUCUGCCUCUCUCUCUGGGUCUCUCUGCCACUCACAUUGCCUCUCUGUAUGCUUCUCUCCACCUCUGUCGACCUGCCUCUAAGUCUUUCUGCAUCUCUCUGCCACUCUUCCACACUCUGACUCUCCAUCUGCCUCUCUACCCUCUCUCUGCAUCUCUGCCUUUCUCUCACCCACUCUCUCUGCCUUUCUUCCUCUCUCUCAGCUUCAGUCUCUGCCUGCCUCUCUACCUCUCUGAACCUCUGACUCUCUGUCUCUCUCUCUGUCUCUCUCUCUCUCUCUGUCUGUCUCUCUCUGCCUCUCUGUCUGCUUCUCACCACCUCUCUCUCUGCUUUACUCUCUGCCUCUCUGACUGACUCACUCUGCCUCCCACAGCCUCUCUUUACCCCUCUGACUCUCUCUAUGAUUCUGGCUCUGCAUCUCUCUGCCUGCCGCUCAGGCUCUCUGAGCAUCUGCCUCUAUGUCUCUCUCUGCCACCAUCUGCCUCCCUCUACCUGUCUUUCUGCCUCUCUGUCCCUGUCUCUGCCUCUCUCUUC
RNAcentral lists this long non-coding RNA (918 nucleotides) under Cricetulus griseus (Chinese hamster). Its description in RNAcentral is "lncRNA (ENSCGRG00000025146.1)". Lineage: Eukaryota; Metazoa; Chordata; Mammalia; Rodentia; Cricetidae. The record is from RNAcentral.